Molecule: ribosomal RNA, 253 nt
Filed under: uncultured bacterium
Lineage: Bacteria
Description: partial 16S ribosomal RNA
Rfam family: Bacterial small subunit ribosomal RNA
Source: RNAcentral
UACGUAGGGUGCAAGCGUUAAUCGGAAUUACUGGGCGUAAAGCGUGCGCAGGCGGUUCUAUAAGACAGAUGUGAAAUCCCCGGGCUUAACCUGGGAAUUGCAUUUGUGACUGCACGGCUAGAGUGUGUCAGAGGGGGGUAGAAUUCCACGUGUAGCAGUGAAAUGCGUAGAUAUGUGGAGGAAUACCGAUGGCGAAGGCAGCCCCCUGGGAUAACACUGACGCUCAUGCACGAAAGCGUGGGGAGCAAACAGG